AGUUACUCAGCCAUCAGGGACCCCUGAGCCUCUUGGCUUAGCUUGUCAGGUGUGGAGAGGUAGUUCGGCAUGAUGGCUAUGGUCAUGGUAAAGGUGUCUGAAUGGACAGCAGCUAUCAUCUACCCUACUGAGGAACUAACUUCCAAGUGCAGUGUGGGCAAGAAGACCUACAAAUACCCAAG
Molecule: long non-coding RNA, 182 nt
Filed under: Fukomys damarensis (Damara mole-rat)
Lineage: Eukaryota; Metazoa; Chordata; Mammalia; Rodentia; Bathyergidae
Description: lncRNA (ENSFDAG00000025470.1)
Source: RNAcentral